This 767-nucleotide ribosomal RNA is filed under the name uncultured Granulicatella sp. RNAcentral describes it as "bacterial SSU rRNA". It matches the Rfam family "Bacterial small subunit ribosomal RNA", at positions 28 to 776 of the family's 1533-position model. Lineage: Bacteria; Bacillati; Bacillota; Bacilli; Lactobacillales; Carnobacteriaceae. The record is from RNAcentral.
GACGAACGCUGGCGGCGUGCCUAAUACAUGCAAGUCGAACGCGAGCGACCGGUGCUUGCACUGGUCAAUCUAGUGGCGAACGGGUGAGUAACACGUGGGUAACCUGCCCAUCAGAGGGGGAUAACAUCCGGAAACGGAUGCUAAAACCGCAUAGGUCUUCGAACCGCAUGGUUUGAAGAGGAAAAGAGGCGCAAGCUUCUGCUGAUGGAUGGACCCGCGGUGCAUUAGCUAGUUGGUGAGGUAACGGCUCACCAAGGCCGUGAUGCAUAGCCGACCUGAGAGGGUGAUCGGCCACAUUGGGACUGAGACACGGCCCAAACUCCUACGGGAGGCAGCAGUAGGGAAUCUUCCGCAAUGGACGCAAGUCUGACGGAGCAACGCCGCGUGAGUGAAGAAGGUUUUCGGAUCGUAAAACUCUGUUGUUAGAGAAGAACAAGUGCUAGAGUAACUGUUAGCGCCUUGACGGUAUCUAACCAGAAAGCCACGGCUAACUACGUGCCAGCAGCCGCGGUAAUACGUAGGUGGCAAGCGUUGUCCGGAUUUAUUGGGCGUAAAGCGAGCGCAGGCGGUUCCUUAAGUCUGAUGUGAAAGCCCCCGGCUCAACCGGGGAGGGUCAUUGGAAACUGGGGAACUUGAGUGCAGAAGAGGAGAGUGGAAUUCCAUGUGUAGCGGUGAAAUGCGUAGAUAUAUGGAGGAACACCAGUGGCGAAGGCGACUCUCUGGUCUGUAACUGACGCUGAGGCUCGAAAGCGUGGGUAGCAAACAGG